Anas platyrhynchos (mallard) is the source of this 9337-nucleotide non-coding RNA. NCBI's taxonomy places the organism in Eukaryota, Metazoa, Chordata, Aves, Anseriformes, Anatidae. The record is from RefSeq and is a predicted model, not a curated record.
UUACACAAAGAGGUAAUUAACCAGCCUGGCCAAAACAGGAGCAGGUUAUGGCCACAGCUGCUCCAUAUCCUCGAUACUUUGGUGCAGCUGCCAGCUCACAAGUUUACCCUGCACAUCAGCCAGUGAAAAUGUGUUUGCCGUGGUGGUUGUUGGGAGGAAAAGGGUUGCUAAAAAUGACACAGAGAGGUUGGUGAGUACUGCAAUACCACAGGAAGAAACCCAAAUGCAUAGAGCCACCUCUGUGAACAGGUGCUUGCUUUGGAGAAAAUCCUUGAAAUUGCAUUAGCAAAGGAGCAGAACAGAAGGUAAAAUGUAUCACUGUGGGUAUCCACAGCCGCAGUGCCCUAAUGAGCUAUUGCAGCUAAUGAACGAAGCUGUGUUUGGUGUUGCAGUGCCAAAAAAGCUGCAGCCCUGUGAACAUGUGUGCAGAACCUCCUGGAGGGGUUUGGGGUUGUUGCCUUCAGACAGCAUCGCUGGCAAGGUUGGGGCUGGCCUUGGCAAGCAGCUGCCACCACAGGGCAUGCUGGUGUCCCUGUCCUGUUUGGGAAGCAGGGAUCUCACCCCGAGUUUCCAAACUGCCCAUUCAGGGCAGACGUUUGCCAUUCAGGUGCAUGUGAAACCUCAGCUUUUUGCAAAUGGAGGUUUCAUGCAGAGGCAGAGCCUUGCUGGUGGUUAUCAGCUCAGCAGAGACCGUUCCUGUUCUUAUUCCUGGAGCAAAGAGGCUGGAAGAGAGUGAAAAAGUUAUCAGAGCUCCGGGCUUUACAAAGCACAAUGAGUUAGCGUCAUCCAAGAAGGAGCCCUUCCUCUGAAGCAAUCUACAUAUUCGCUAGAAGUGAUGUGGGGACAAAAUUCCUGCUUGUGACAUUAAUGCUUUUUCUGAUAUGCCCUUCAACACUACUGCCCAUUGACACUAGAGCUGGAAAAAAUUGUUUUGCACAAAGAGAGAGGCAAGAAGUGGAUCUCUAGUUAUGAAUUCUCUCAAAGAGCAGAAGCAAACCACCCAGGGUUGUUUUUAAGUAUCAAACAAUGGAAAACAGCACCCAGCCUCAGACAACGUGCUUCUGUUCCUGGUACUAAAAUCAUUAAGGUAAACUCAUCGUGUCUUUCCUUUGUGAGAAGACUGGAACAACAUCAACAACAAAAUACAUUUCAUAGGAUGCUUGAAGUUUUUGGCUUUUUCCAGAGAAUUCUUUUGGUGCUGCCUCUCAGACCCUUGAACUGCAGCGUUUGAAAGAGCAAGCAGCAGGCUGCCGUGCAAGCAGCGCUGUGCUCUGGUCUCACUAUGGAGAACAAGAAAUCUCCUCUGAUCCUAGGACAGGAGGUUGAGGCUCUCACAGGAGAAGCAGCUUGGCUGGUGCAGCUUCGUGAGAUGAAAACUGAGUGAUCGCUGGCUGUAAAAACAGGGGGUAGGUAGCAGGAAGAAGAGCUUAGUUAACCUGUGCUGGCUUCUAUAUCUGUAAGCCUGCCCAGUGCUUUCCCAUUGCAUAGGGUGAUCUAAUGAAAGAUAUUACAUCUCCCUGCAGAUUUUGCCUUUCUUAUACUCUUAGACAACAGUAGCUGCGGCAGCUCUAUGCUUGGCACUGAAAUGCUUCAGUCUGGCUGAGAACAAAUUUAGUUUGGGCACGAAGAGGUCUCCAAGUACGAGAGCUACGGGGAUUUGGAAAGAUCUUGCCAUAAGUAUAAUGUAGAUGAGGCACCUGAAGUAGCCCUAAAUUGGCAUCUGAUUAGUAUCUGAAGGGUUGCAUGACAUGGAGCACGAUGGCCGAGUUGUGCUGGCUCGAGAGAUCCUCUGCAGCUCUACGGGACCGCGAGCUGAAGCGAAGAGACGGUGUGUAACAGCAGUGAGGUGGGAAAAAUCUGCGUGAGGAACAUCAGGAGAUCUGCUAUCCAAUGGUUUCUAGUUAAUUAUUCAUAGUAAUCCAAGUACUGCUUACUGUAUCUUGUACUGCUUUACAGUGUUCUCCUCUGUGUAUUGAAUGUCUGAUGUACUGAGGAACUGUGUGCCUUGGAGUUGUGUCGGAACAAUGAACGUAUUCAUCGGCUUCCCUGUAAAGCAGCUGUAAGAUCUUGCUGAGGAGGGCUUCUGCAGAGAGCUGAGCUGGGGGAUGAAGGGGAAUGUAAGAGAAUUAGAAAUGAGAUUGGGCCAUGCAGGCCAUGGCAUGGGGUUGGCUGUUUUGUUCUCCCGCUUUGCGUGCUUUGGACUUAGAAAAAGCAUUUCAAAAAGUCAGUGCCCAUACCUAGGGUAAGGUUUUGGCUCCCGCUUAAGCGUUGUGUGAAGGAGCCAAGGGCAUGAAGGGAGCACUGUGCUCAGCGCUUCCUUGGAUCUGCCAGGAAGAAAAGCUGUCCGGCAUGGUAGCCCAGAGGAAUGCAGUGCAGACGAGGGCUGUGCCCUUCGUAGCUCCCUGAUGCCUGCAGGGAGAGGGGGACUGGCUGCAGGCGUUUUGUGUAGUUACAGUACAUGGGAAGUGUGGUGUUAUCAGUUCUGUCAGUCUCUUAAUAGGGCUGGACAGGGACUGGCACGAUGCAGGGCAGUUCAGCAUGAGAGGAUUGAUCUGAGUUGCCAAAUUUUUCCCCAGGAUAAGCAACCAGGGGACAACAGAAGGUUUCUGGAACUUAACCUCUGCCAUCGACAUCACUGAAAGUACCAGGAAAACCCCUCAACCUUCGCCUGCACUGCAGUGAGAUUUGUCUUAAAGAAAAUACUCCGGAGUCUCGAUAUAUACGGUUCACUCUGAUGCAAAAUACUUUAUGCAAGUACAUAUAAAACCACAGAGUUACAUUCUUCCUUGAAAUCUCAUCUAUAGAGGGAGGCUGCAAUGGAGGGGCUGAUGAAAUGGGAGCUAACAAAGGAUGAAGACAUCACUACCUGAGCCUCCCUGGAGGAGGAUGUGCUUGGAGCACCAAGCAAACAAAACCCUUCCCAUGUACUGUAUGGUCCUGAACUCCGAACUUGGGCUGCUCUUUCUGGUAGCUUGAACGUUCACCCCUUUUAAUGGGAUUUUUACCCCUGAAGCACCAGGAAUUGCAUAGCAAUACUCGUUUGAGCUGCUGCUUACUGCUAGUAGUUAGGAAGCCACUGCAGACAACUGGAUGCACACAGGAUAACGUUCUUCACUGUCCUCAGUUAUCAUCCUUCCCAUGGUGUAAAUGCAUCUGAAGGGUGUGAUUUCCAUUUAGAGUACAUUGUGGAACCAGGUCAAACAUGAGAUUUUUUUUUUUUUUUACCUGCCCAGUAACCUGACAGAUCAUAUAGUUUGAUUCCUGUGAAAUUAUCUGAGUAGAUGCAGUGCUCUUCAAAAGCAGAGCAUUAGGAAUUAUUUAGACAAAGAAGCAGAUAGGUACACUAAAACACAGGCUCGGGUAAGCAACUAUUCUUAUCACUUACAGGGAAAAUUAAAUUAAUGGGGAAAGAGUUACUUAUUUGACUCCGAAUGUGGGAAUUAUUACUAAUUGCACGAGUAAUUCCUUGGUAAUGAUGCUGUAAUGAUUCUUUCUAUUACAAGUGGUAAUGCUGUCAUUACUACAUUACUCAAACUCAAAUCCGUGGGGAAGCUCUGUAGGGUGAGCAGUGAUUGAAGGUUCCACAUUAAAAUAAUUACCCUCAAUCUGAAAUUUCGAAUGUACAUGAUGGAUAUCUAAUGUUCACUGGAUUUCUUAAGGCUCCUCUUCUGCAAUAUUUCUCUUAUCUGCACUGGGCUCUGGUUAUUUUGUUCUUUUUAGGCUAGUUAAUUUUUCAAGACGUGUUUAAGGAUGGUAUUCAGAAAAUGAAGUGUUUUAGCGUUGUUAGAAUGGUGACAACCGAUAAAUGAGCAGCUUAUAUCUUAUCUAUAGUGUUGUGUAGGGAAAAAUGUAGCCUUCCUUAUCCAGGGUUUUUCUGUUCCUGACGCCUUUUUGAGAUAGGAUUUCAGCGUCUUGGCUGAAAUGCGCAGUGGCAAUGUGAGAAGCACGACGCAGAUAAGUGUCACAAACGCUAAUCCAGGACUCAUUUUGAUUCUGAAACCCCUGAUUAGGGAGUGAACGUGAGAGCUAUGGAGUUGGGCUUCCACACAGGCUUCCCCUCUGCUUUUGUGCCUGUCUCAGUAACCCAGCGGCACCUUCAGAAAUUCCUAAAUAAGGUAGGACAAGCCCUUUUGCUGGGAAGUAGUAUUGUAUUAAUUCUCACAGAGGUGAGGAACAUUCUCAAUCCAGUAUUUUAACAAGCAUCUUCUUUAUUUCUUUUAAGAGUCAGUUCUUUCUCAGCCAGAAUGAGGAACAUGGUCGCCCUGUACAGAUAUGCCUUGGUGUAGUAGAGGCCGGAGAAUGUCACUGAAACGGUGAGAAAAUAAGGUGCUUCCCACCCCAGAAAUGCAAAAAAAAAUAAAAAAUUCUCUGCGGUGUUUCUGGUAGCAAGUGGGAGCUGAGCUGUUGCUGUGCCCUGCCCUUGGGUGCCUUUUAGUGGAAGGCCGUGCUGACAUAGAUGCUAAAUGCUCAUGGUCAAGGACUGCAGGAAAAAUUCUGAAGGAGGGGCUUAUUCUGGCUUUUCUGUACCAAAUGGUGGGAAAGGAAUCCCCACUGACUAUUUUGGUUGACCUAGCUGGAUAGAAAUUAGGUUGCCCUAGACAAACACAACUCGCUUCAACCUGGAGGUGAAGUGUGGGGGGAGUCGGACUGCAUUUGGCUCUGGAAGCACUUACAGAGCUUCUGAGCUCUGUUCUUCAUGAGGUCCUAAACAGGGACUGCUUGCUGGGACCACCGAGGGGGACUCGAGAGCUAAGUGAGGGUUUCUCCCCAGCACCGAACCUCAGUGACAGUCCUACUGCUGUGCUGAGCUUGUGCCACCUAACAGAGCUCGGGGGCUGGCGGGGAUUCUCCUCCAGCAGCCAGUUUUAGUCUUUAUACUUCAUGCAUAUUCUGUGGAGAAGAGCGCAGAAUGUGAUUUCUCUUUUUAAGUAUAAUUUUGAACAUAUUAAUGAUAUUGGCAAUUACUCAGAGAAAAACACGUAAUCAAUGCUUGUUAGCCUGGGAGGUGAUAAAUUUUAAAAAUACAAUCUGUGCUCGCCUGGAAUUUAUUGCUUCAGGCAAGGUGAUAGCUUCAGCACUGCCAUUUCCAAAGAGUGCUGUGCAUUUAUUUUCUCAUUAGCAUCUACUUUCUAUUGUAUAUUUUGAACAAAGGUAACCUUGGAGUAGGAACACAUUCCUUGCUGUCAGGAAGAACUUGUGAUGCUGUUUCAAAGGUGCAUGCAUGAUUGAGCAGCAAUACAUCACAAGGAGCCCUGCAAAGAAGAUAAUUCUCCAUGGGCUGUAGAAGAAGAAAAGAAAUUCUUAUUUUUUUUUUUAUAUUUUAGCUUACUGUGCUCCGUGGGAGGGGGGAGGGUUAAUAUAUGUGUGUUGUGACAAGCUCUUUCAGAUGGCGAGGAGACUGUUUGUCAACUCAUAACUAUCAUUCUCCAAAAUAGCAGAGAUUCAGCAAUUUGCAUUUUAGCAGGUUUUGAUAAAAAUCUUUUAAAAUGAGGGAGAUUGUUGUCAGUGCAAUUCCUUUAAAAAGCAGAAAAAUCAGGGUGAUUGUAAUAGUUCAAGAGGAAUUUGAAACAGUGACUCCUAACUUUCCACUGAAGGAUCUACCGUGUAUUACAACACUCCUGGUAUUUCCCUGGCAUGUAAAACACGUGGUGAUCUGCCUGUCAGUGAAUGCAAGUGAGAGACCUGGAAAUGGCCUGGUUUGAAAACCUCUGCAUCCUGGUAGCACCUCAGAACAUCAGGGCCACCCCAGGAAGGUAGCCAGGGGUGGUCCUGCAGCUUGGACCAGAGGUAGGAAAAGAAGCAGCCUCGGAGGCACAGGAGAGACCCAGCAACUCCAGGCUCAGCUAGAACAGCUUAGAGGAAGAACACGGGAGGCAGAGCCAGGGAUCGACCAGGAUGCUAAAUAAUCCCAGAGCCCUCAUUUUGCAGAACACAAGCCAAGAUUUUUAAGCACUGCUUAACUCCAUCCCAGUCUGCUCCAGCAGAGCUGUGCCCCCACACCUGCGGGAGCACAGCCCCAGAGGAGUCUUUUCUGCUGCAAAGCCACCGCUAGCUGCAAAACCUCUCGUGUCUGCGAAGUUUGUCAGUGUAGGGCCAGCUGUCUGUGGUGCUGUCAGGAGUUUGACUUGACGUGCCAUCUCUGCAGCUGACGGUGCCAUCUGCACUCGCGCUCCGGGUGCACCCGCAGCGGCCUCCCGGAGAUCAGCCGAGCUGCCUUCAGAAAGCAAAGAGAAGCACGGAUGAUGAACCGUGGAAAGAAAACGGCGUUUCUUCAGCUCGCUGCUCGGGGUGGAUUUUAAUGGCAGAUUAAAAGGCUCUGUCCGUGCUGAGGCCGCUGUGUGCUGAGCGUUCGGCUGCGCACCAACAAGCUGCUCGGGCUCAUCCCGCUGCAAAGUGUGCCUGGGGAAUUCCAGAGAUAUUAAGGAGCUGCACCGGCCAGAGCAGCUGGAUCGGGGCUUUCAGCUCACAGUGUGUUGGCCCUUGCUCUUGUGCUUUUCUGAUGAUGGGAAUAGGACAGGGAGUCCUGGGGUUCCUCACUUUUGGGAUUUUUCUGUGAUAGCAAGCUUGUAUCCGCAGCUUUUCUAAGAAACAAGAGUCACAAGAACUUCAGUGGAAGCUGGGAUGUUCAGUCCUAUGCCAGGUCGAUCCUACAGGGUAAACCUCUAUCAGAAGAGUUACUGGUUUGAGGAUAAACGUCUGGCGUGAGGCGCUGUGUGAUCACAGAACAAAAAGAUGGCUCUUGGCUUGGAGAGCGCCAGCUCCGCACAGCUACAGCUGUUCUAGCUGAAAAGCUCAUAUUAAACGCGAUGUCUGUUUCUACUCAUAAAGCUUGAUGGUUUUUUGAGCAGCACAAACUUUAAUGUGUGUGAAAGUGCCUGAAGUUGGUAAUAAUGAUGAAAUGCAAAGAAUCGUCCAAAAUUUCUCUGUUUACUUCUAUAAUAAAAACAGCUUUAUUCAGUAGUUCGUGCAUGGGGUAUUCGCAAUUUUUAACUGACAACAGAAAUCCCCAUAUGGCUCAGAAAAGUGUUGGCAUGCACUUGUGUGAAGUUUGUUAAAACUGCCUGACAGACGUUGUUUUUUUAAAGAAUUCUUUUCCUUUCAAACAAGUUUCUUCUGUGGUUUAUAAGUGAAGUUUAAAAAGCUAAUUGGCCAAGGAUAUAAUUAGAUUUAUGCUUAUGUGGGAUAGUCUUGUAGAAGCAGUCUCUAGAAGGACUCUGGGCCUGAAACUGAAGCUUGUCUCAAUGUCAUGAUUAAAAAAAUAUAUAAAAAUAUUGCCAUCAGCUGAAAGUGACAAUUUCAGUUGUACCAGGAGGUUCUCAGUAUCUGAGCCAGAGCCCAGAGCUGAUCUGGUGCCCUUAUUUACCACUCACUUUGUCAAGUCUUCUGCCUCCCUCCUCUCCUGGGGGUGACACUGAUCACUAAAAUCAUCAGCUCGGCUCGUGGUGUUUGUAGGAUUAAGAAGGUUAAACCAACAUUUGGUCACUCGCUGAAGACAGAUGAUGUGUUGCUGUUAACAAGUGCAUUCAGCCAUCAUGUUCUUUCUGACUCUUGAAUCAGUCACAUCUUUAAGAGUAGCAGCAAAUGAUUUAUUUAGGAGAUAAGAAUCUUCACAAGCAGCCUAAUUUUUUUGAGGGAUUUUAAAUUCUCUCCUUCCCUUUACAGAAAAAAAAAAAAGUUUCAAAGGAACAUCUUGGAGUCUUUUUGCAUUUGUUUCUUUGUAAAGUCAAAGAUGAACAAAAGGUUGCUGAAGGCAUCCUGCAGAAGCAAAACCAGUCAAAUCAGGCCAAGUUGUUUUUUUUUUUUCUUGGCUUUCUGUUAGGUGUCUUAUGACAUUGGGCUUUCUACGUAGUAGCUUAUUUUUGCCAUUCAAUCAUGUGCAGCAUGCACAAACACGACUUCCCUGCGCAACCUUUCUGUGCUGAUUUAAGCCUCGCUUUAAAAACCCAGCCAGGGUAUUUCUUCCUUAGAGAACAAUAAAUACGAAACGGAGAGCAGGAACCUCGACUUCAUUUCUGCAGUGAUUUUGUUUCUGAGAAUCUCUGGGCCAUAGCUUGUGAGUGGAAAACGUACAAAUGUAGCACGUGGAGGUCCCCUGGGCUUCCAGUGCAUGCAACAGGACAGAAAGGUUCCCUUCCUCAAAGCUUAAUAGAAAUUAUUGCAGGGCUAUCCUGCAACGUUGGUAGUGGGAAUUGUGUGCUCUCUUCUUAUUCCUGAGUAGGACAAAGAUGAAGGAAAAUAAGGAGGGAAGAUGUGCUGCACAGGACGGCUGGCAGCCUGUGAAGCUGAGAUGUGAUCUGCAGCCGUGGUGAUGGUUUGGCUCAGCCCGCGUGCUUUCUGUGCCCAUCUCAAAAAGAAAUUGCCUUCAAAAAUGUAAGUGGCUUACCGCAUCCCUUUCAUUAGGGAGGCAGUGUAAUGUGAUGCAGAGAUGCUGAAUGUACAACGAAAUCUGCUCAGUGAUGGAGCUACACACGUCUGCAUGUUGUCCCUCCGGCUGGGACCCAGGGGCUGCCGUUCUGAAGGCCGUCCCUGUGUGCACGCUCUGUGGGGUUUUUCUGCAGCUCAACCACCUCCUGAGUUCUCCGGCCACUCACCUUUCCUCCAAGCUCAUUCACUGUCUGCAGAUUGCUGGGUCUCGAGCUUUUUUCCCUUUGUCUGGAUCGCUCCAUGGCUGAGGUAUGGCUGGGCUCUCCCAGGAAAGCACAAACGUUAUUUCGUUCAUCCUGGACUUGUAACGGCGUUUCCCACUUGUGCUAUAACUUGUUAGGCCUCCCCUUAUGCUCUACCUGCCUCGCUGUUAUCACACAUCAAAGAUACGGGCCGGGUGCUGCCUAAAUACAAGGCAAGCUCCAGCGUAUUUCUGUGUAAAGUGCCAGGGGCCAAGUUCUCCCCUCAGACUCCAUGCGAGGCUCCUCUUUGAUCUGACAGGAGCUGCGUGCACAGCUCCUGGGGGCACGGAUCAGCUUACGUGUGGUUUCCCUCCUCUCCCUCCCAAUUAUUACAGGAAGCAGCAGCUUUUACAGUGUAAAUGAGACAUUUGAAAGCAGCUGUUGUCAAAAGUUUCCUUCUAAUUCAAUAACUCACAUUAAGAAGCUGCCCCUCGUUAGGCACACGCUGUUAUUUAGCGCGUGGAGGUACCAACCAAGAGCAGGUAUCCUCUGUCCCUAAUAUUGAUACGUUUGGGUAAUCAGAGCUCAUCUCUACCCUGAAUAAUUUAUAGUUGGAGCUCGUCUGCAAAACUAGGAGGGAGCUUCUUGAACAGGAAUUUUCCACUUGUCAAAUCUGAGUGGUUUUGUGGAAAACGACCUGACUUCCCAGGCUCCUGACGGAGCUUCUGCAU